This 408-nucleotide ribosomal RNA is filed under the name uncultured bacterium. RNAcentral's name for it is "partial 16S ribosomal RNA". It matches the Rfam family "Bacterial small subunit ribosomal RNA", at positions 28 to 526 of the family's 1533-position model. The record is from RNAcentral.
GACGAACGCUGGCGGCGUGCUUAACACAUGCAAGUCGAACGAAGUGGCGAACGGGUGAGUAAGGCGUAAUCAACCUGCCCUUCAGAGGGGGACAACAGUUGGAAACGACUGCUAAUACCGCAUACUGAGGGAGGGGCUUGCGUCUGAUUGGGUAGUUGGGGGGGUAACGGCCCCCCAAGGCGAUGAUCAGUAGCCGGUUCGCGGGGAUGAACGGCCAAAUUGGGACUGGAGCACGGCCCAGACCCCUACGGGAGGCCGCAGUGGGGAAUCGUCCGGAAUGGACGAAAGUCUGGCGGAGGAACGCCGCGUGAGUGAUGACGGCCUUCGGGUUGUAAAGCUCUGUUAAUCGGGACGCGGUACCGGAAUAGAAAGCCACGGCUAACUACGUGCCAGCAGCCGCGGUAAUUC